CCUACGGGCGGCACCAGUAGGGAAUCUUCGGCAAUGGACGAAAGUCUGACCGAGCAACGUCGCGUGAGUGAAGAAGGUUUUCGGAUCGUAAAACUCUGUUGUUAGAGAAGAACAAGGACGUUAGUAACUGAACGCCCCCUGACGGUAUCUAACCAGAGAGCCACGGCUAACUACGUGCCAGCAGCCGCGGUAAUACGUAGGUGGCAAGCGUUGUCCGGAUUCAUUGGGCGUAAAGCGAGCGCAGGCGGUUUCUUAAGUCUGAUGUGAAAGCCCCCGGCUCAACCGGGGAGGGUCAUUGGAAACUGGGAGACUUGAGUGCAGAAGAGGAGAGUGGAAUUCCAUGUGUAGCGGUGAAAUGCGUAGAUAUAUGGAGGAACACCAGUGGCGAAGGCGGCUCUCUGGUCUGUAACUGACGCUGAGGCUCGAAAGCGUGGGGAGCAAACAGGAUUAGAUACCCUGGUAGUC
RNAcentral lists this ribosomal RNA (465 nucleotides) under uncultured bacterium. RNAcentral describes it as "bacterial SSU rRNA". It matches the Rfam family "Bacterial small subunit ribosomal RNA", at positions 338 to 795 of the family's 1533-position model. The record is from RNAcentral.